RNAcentral lists this ribosomal RNA (243 nucleotides) under uncultured marine archaeon. RNAcentral describes it as "partial 16S ribosomal RNA". It matches the Rfam family "Archaeal small subunit ribosomal RNA", at positions 577 to 827 of the family's 1478-position model. The record is from RNAcentral.
GGGAAUACUGCAAAGCUAGGGAGUGGAGAGGUAGACGUACUCGGUAGGAAGUGGUAAAAUCCUUUGAUCUAUUGAUGACCACCUGUGGCGAAGGCGGUCUACCAGAACACGUCCGACGGUGAGGGAUGAAAGCUGGGGGAGCAAACCGGAUUAGAUACCCGGGUAGUCCCAGCUGUAAACUAGCAAACUCAGUGAUGCAUGGCUUGUGCCAAUGCAGGUGCAGGGAAGCCGAUAAGUUGCCGC